GACGAACGCUGGCGGCGUGCUUAACACAUGCAAGUCGAACGGGCCUUGUCCCCUUUUUUUUUGGGGGUGGGGUUAGUGGCGAACGGGUGAGUAACACGUGAGUAACCUGCCCCUCACUUCUGGAUAACCGCUUGAAAGGGUGGCUAAUACGGGGUGUUCUGGCCUGCUCGCAUGGGUGGGUUUGGAAAGAUUCGACCGGUUUUGGUUGUUUUGGUGGGGGAUGGGCUCGCGGCCUAUCAGCUUGUUGGUGGGGUGAUGGCCUGCCAAGGCUUUGACGGGUAGCCGGCCUGAGAGGGUGGGCGGUCACACUGGGACUGAGACACGGCCCAGACUCCUACGGGAGGCAGCAGUGGGGAAUAUGGCACAAUGGGCGCAAGCCUGAUGCAGCGACGCCGCGUGAGGGAUGGAGGCCUUCGGGUUGUGAACCUCUUUCGCCAGUGAAGAAGGUCCUGCUCUUUGUGGUGGGGUUGACGGUAGCUGGGUUAAUGAAGCGCCGGCUAACUACGUG
RNAcentral lists this ribosomal RNA (508 nucleotides) under uncultured bacterium. Its description in RNAcentral is "partial 16S ribosomal RNA". It matches the Rfam family "Bacterial small subunit ribosomal RNA", at positions 28 to 507 of the family's 1533-position model. The record is from RNAcentral.